AAAAGAUAUAUAAAAUAACUACAGAAAGCAUGUAAAAGUAAAAGGACAACAUGCAAGAAUCAGAUAAGAUGGAACAUCAGAAAUACUGAUUAUAACAAGAAACAAGAUGGACAGAAAGAUUAUAAAAUAUAGAAGUUUGGGAAUAGACAGCAAAUGUCCAGAGCAUUAGGCAGGAGGUCAAAUGUGCUCAUGUAUAUUUCUUCCUCGGCAGCAAUGGUUCAAAUACUUCAGACAGAAAUCCCUCUUCAACCAGCAGCUUGCAGUUCUGGGACAAAUAUU
Molecule: unclassified non-coding RNA, 279 nt
Filed under: Hevea brasiliensis (rubber tree)
Lineage: Eukaryota; Viridiplantae; Streptophyta; Magnoliopsida; Malpighiales; Euphorbiaceae
Source: RNAcentral